Molecule: small RNA, 233 nt
Filed under: Vigna angularis var. angularis
Lineage: Eukaryota; Viridiplantae; Streptophyta; Magnoliopsida; Fabales; Fabaceae
Description: Non-protein coding transcript
Source: RNAcentral
GAAUUUUUGGAUAAGUUAGCAGAAGCCUAACAGCGUAUGAGUCUAUGGUAGAUUAAUCUAGUAUCAUUAAAGCCUAAAAUUGGGAGGCAUGGGAAGCUUACCUUCUCUUUUAUUGUAUGAUGAAUACGAAGAUGUUGCAGAUGCUCCAGAUGCAUGAUAGAGACGUAAGAGUGGGAAAAAGACUUGUGUUAUUUAAAGUUUUUGUACUAUAAAUGUUAGAGACAAUGUAAGCG